CGCACAUUGCGCCCUUUGGUAUUCCGAAGGGCAUGCCUGUUUGAGUGUCAUAUAGACUUCACCUGGUCGGGUUUCCGAUCUGUGUGCUUUGGACGUUUGCCGCCCUCUGGCUCGUCUUAAAUGUCUAAGUGGAAUGGCGUUAUAAGUUUUCGCUACUCUUCACUCUAAUCAACUCGUUGAUCUGACCUCAAAUCAGGUAGGACUACCCGCUGAACUUAA
RNAcentral lists this unclassified non-coding RNA (219 nucleotides) under Hannaella oryzae. RNAcentral describes it as "partial contains 5.8S ribosomal RNA, internal transcribed spacer 2, and large subunit ribosomal RNA". The stretch from base 1 to 50 matches the Rfam family "5.8S ribosomal RNA", at positions 105 to 154 of the family's 154-position model. Lineage: Eukaryota; Fungi; Basidiomycota; Tremellomycetes; Tremellales; Bulleribasidiaceae. The record is from RNAcentral.